UAACACAUGCAAGUCGAACGAGAAAGCUUUCUUCGGAAGGUGAGUAGAGUGGCGCACGGGUGAGUAACACGUAAGUAAUCUGUCUCCGAAUCCGGGAUAACAUUGCGAAAGCGAUGCUAAUACCGGAUAAAGUUGUAUUAACUGCGGUUGAUAUAAUGAAAGGCGGCUUCGGCAGUCGAUCGGAGGUGAGCUUGCGUCCCAUUAGCUAUUUGGCAGGGUAAGAGCCUACCAAGGCACCGAUGGGUAGCUGGUCUGAGAGGAUGAUCAGCCACACUGGAACUGAAACACGGUCCAGACUCCUACGGGAGGCAGCAGUGAGGGAUUUUGCGCAAUGGGGGAAACCCUGACGCAGCAAUGCCGCGUGAGUGAAGAAGGCCUUCGGGUCGUAAAGCUCUGUCGAUGGGAAGAAGUUAUUAAUUAUUAAUA
This 426-nucleotide ribosomal RNA is filed under the name uncultured bacterium. RNAcentral's name for it is "bacterial SSU rRNA". It matches the Rfam family "Bacterial small subunit ribosomal RNA", at positions 49 to 467 of the family's 1533-position model. The record is from RNAcentral.